Long non-coding RNA from Misgurnus anguillicaudatus (oriental weatherfish), 1591 nucleotides. RefSeq lists it as uncharacterized. The record is from RefSeq and is a predicted model, not a curated record. NCBI's taxonomy places the organism in Eukaryota, Metazoa, Chordata, Actinopteri, Cypriniformes, Cobitidae.
AGGUAGCCAGAUCUGCUCCCAAUGAUCCGUUGUCUUCUGAGUCAGAUGUGUCAUUUAAUUCCUUAAAGUCCAUGGCUUCCUCAAGGUCAAUGGCUUCUAUAAAGUCAUCAUCCCAGUCACUGUCUUCAGAAGAUGAUGAUGAAGGUGAUGCCUCAGUGGACAGGUGGUCUUCCAUAAGACAUCCAAUGGCUUCAUCCGAGUCAUUUUGACACAUUGGUGGUAGAUCUGGGUGAUCCUUCUGUGUGUUCAUUUUUUCCAUAUUAUUAAAAACACGUUUGGCAGCUCUCCAUGAUCUAAGAUAUUGUCUUGAUCUUUCUUUCUUUUCCUCACUCAUCAUGAAGAAUUCCUGAAAGAACAAUAUAUCUCCAUGUUUUCCUACAAUCUUUCUGUUCGAAAUUAUGAAUUUUUCAAAUUUACUCAAAUUGUAUUUUAUAUUUGUAUUUAUACAGAGGACUUUUAUUUUGCAUGUACUGUUCUACACCAAUAAUGAAAAUAAUUUUGUAAAAAGAAAUUCUCCUUAUUAAUGUGCUUCAUAUUCAUUUAUUUAUAGAAUUUAAUGUACAUGAACUGUUAUAUAAUACUAAAAUUAAAUUGUACUUUUAUAAAAUUUAUGAAUUUUACAGUAAUGAAGGCUUUGCCCCUCAAAUGCUUUUAAUGUAUUUAUUUAUACAGACUUCUUUUUUCCUUAGACUGCAUCUUGAGACUGUUUUAUCCCGCGUUUCGUCACAUCCGGCUCUGGCAGUUUGUUGUGGUUAAAAUACAAAUAAAGCUCGAAACCGCGUUUCGUCACAUCCGGUUCUAAAUAAAGUUGCUGCCCCCACCAUGUUCGCUGCAAGUUUGGUUGAAGAAUCGCAGCUAGUCUGCUGCAGUACCAGCUGUCAUCUCAUUCAAGAUACUUAUACCUGUCCUCAAGGUCUGCAUCACUUCAUCAGAAACACUUUGCACAAGUGGUACAUCUGUUCCUUCUCGUCCAUUACUCAUAGUUGUUUCUCAUGUGUUCUACUCAUAUUUGUUUGUUUAUGUGUUUGUUAACUUUGUUUUCCAGGGCAAGCUUUCCAUCACAUCGGAAAUUACCCACAUCAACCUCGUUUGCUCUCUCUUCAAAGCUUUGUCCAUAUUGCCAUGUAUUCGUAUUGCAGGAGUUGCAAAAUACAGUCACAUCUCAACUAUUAUUUUAUGAUGCUUUUUACAACUAGUCAGGAGGCACAGCGGCUUGGUGGUUAGCACUGUUGUGAGUCGGUUCAAGCCCCGGCUGCUGAGACAGGAGGUCUUUCGUGAAGUUGGCAUUUUCUCCUUCAGCGUGGGUUUACUUCAGGAGCUCCUGCAGCUAGAGAACAGGCUGGCUACAGUGACUAGAAAGGGACAGGGCAGAUCAUUAGAAGGUAUAUCCCAGUAUAGGGUAAAACCACAUCUGUACAAUGACCUUUAAACAGAGGUGUAAAGUGUCUUUGUUGUAUAUAAUAAUUUACAGACAUCAGGCUUUAUAUGAUGAUAGUCAAAUAUGGAGUUUACAAAUGUAGGGAUAAACAUGUGCAGCUACUUUUGCCAAGUAUAUGGCCAAUACAUAAGCUAAACUUUUGAUAGCUUGUUA